Molecule: long non-coding RNA, 946 nt
Organism: Haemorhous mexicanus (house finch)
Lineage: Eukaryota; Metazoa; Chordata; Aves; Passeriformes; Fringillidae
Exons: 2
Source: RefSeq, a predicted model, not a curated record
AACUAGAUACUGUUCCUAACUGGAGAUCUCUUCUAAAUAUUGCCUCUUUUGCUGUUUCUACAGGAACUUAUAUGAACUACGGUACAAGUAGUGAAAAUGUAAACAGUAGCCAAGACAUUUUUAAGUGAUAGCUUCUAUUAACAAGGUAUGAAUUAAAGACAUAAUUAAGGUUUAGAUGCUCAGAAGAUGUGUCUCCUCCCUGAAAUGACAUGGAUCUGUGUGAGUCCAGAGAAGGGCCAUGAAGAUGAUCAGAGGGCUGGAGCACCUUUCCUAUGAGGAAAGCCUAAAAGAAUUGAUGUUGAUCAGCGCCAAGAAGAGAAGGCUCCUGGGAGACUUUAUUGUGGCCUUUCAGUACCUAAAGGAGCCUUCCAAGUGAGCUGGAGAGCGACUUUUUACAAGUGAUACAAGGGAGAAUGGCUUGAAACUGAAAGAGGAUCAGUUUAGAUUGGAUGUUAAGAAAAAAUUCAUAAUUCUUAAAUUCUUCUUCACUGUGAGGGUGAAGUUCCAAGUCUGGAACAAGUUGCCCGGAGAGGCUGUGGAUGCCUCAUCCCUGGGACUGUUCAAGGUCAGGUUGGAUGAGGGUUUGAGCAACUUGGUCUAGUGGAAGGUGUCCCUGCCUGUGGCAGGGGGAUUUGAACUAGAUGUUUUUAAGGUCCUUGCCAACCUAAACCAUUCUGUGAUUCCAUUAAAUUAUACCUUUCUGUACCAGAUUAUUCAUUAUAUAUUGUAAAUAAUUAUAAAUAAAAGUAAUUAGAUUCAGCAUGAGAGUUCAUUUCUGGGUUUUGUUUUCUGGAGCAAAUUUUAUGCUAAGGAAUGAUCCACAUUUUCUAUUGUAACACCUUAUAACUGCAAUUUUUUUUUUUUUUUUUUUUUGUAAAAUAUAAAUGCCCACAACUGUAUCUGUAGAGAAUGCAUGGAUAGCCAAUAAAAGCCACAACAGACCAAA